CAGAGUUGGAGCAGCAGUGCUAUCAGAUAACAUCUCUAGGAUACUUCACACCAUCUGACUGUGAUUAAGAGAAUCCUGGGGCUCUCUGAUGGUCAGAAGCGAUUUCUCCUGUUCCUCGUGGAGUUUCAGGGAAGACUGGAGCUCGGUGAUGUUCUGGAGGCUUUAGAGGACGACGAGUGGAUAUCUCGUCUGCAGCGGUAGAGGACGAUGAGUGUACGCCUGCCUGCAGCGGUAGAGGACGAUGAGUGUACGUCUGCCUGCAGCGGUAGAGGACGAUGAGUGUACGUCUCGUCUGCAGCGGUAGAGGACGAUGAGUGUACGUCUCGUCUGCGGCACUGGGGUUUGGCUCUGAAGCUGGAAACACACCUGUGUUUUAUAAGAGUGAGAAAUGUCCAGUGCAGGUCCACGGCCAGUCGAAACUUUUCGGUGGACCACAGAAACGUCUUUGUGGAUUCCAUCCUCCUAAAGUGUUCAUUUCAGACUUUCAGGUGAUCAUCUCUUUCAUGUCACGUCACUGUGGACCUGCACAACUAUAUUUGUGACCACACUCAUGUGCUUUAAAUGUCCUCUGCUGUGGGAUGCAGAAAUAAUUGUUGCAAUAUUUAUUUACAAAAUCUCAAUAAAGUGAUGUUUAUGUAACAAAAUGCACUGGAAGAAAGACAGACAGGCAAAAGUUCACCAAGCAGAGCUUCUUUAUUUUCUUUCGUUUUCACCCUGGCGUUUUCCUUUCCAGUGCUCACACCAGGGUUCACCCACACACUCGUGGUUCGGGACGCCUUUCCCUCUUGAUGUUCGCCGGUGGUCCCUCCCUCACGCUUUCUCACUUUAGCGCCCGCCAGAGUUUCCUCACACACCGGCACAACUUUUCUUUGCGUCCACCAGAGUUCACCCGAGUCUGCGCUUAUUUCCCCUUUUUGUUCUCGUGUCUCUCCUCUUUAUUGGCGUCACCAGACUGAAACAGAGCUCUGAUUAGUCUCAUCAGCUGCAGGUGUUUCUUACCGCUCGUGCCGUCCGGCUCCGCCUCCACUCGCGCACCGUUGCUACAGUUUACAUCCCUAAUCAUAUAGAACAAUAUCUGCUUUAUCUAUUCCCAUUUCUCAUCCAGUGAUCAAAUAGUGGAAGCACUGAGAUCAGUGUAAAACACUUUGGUUUUUGCUCAAGUGUGUUAAAGUGUGUUAUAUUUAUAGAUCUUCAUUUCACUUCACUUCUGCCCUCAGACUCUCACUAGUGUACAGAGAUGAUUGUGGAUUAAACAUAUUCAUCCGUAUC
Molecule: long non-coding RNA, 1269 nt
Organism: Silurus meridionalis
Lineage: Eukaryota; Metazoa; Chordata; Actinopteri; Siluriformes; Siluridae
Exons: 5
Source: RefSeq, a predicted model, not a curated record